Molecule: ribosomal RNA, 449 nt
Filed under: uncultured bacterium
Lineage: Bacteria
Description: bacterial SSU rRNA
Rfam family: Bacterial small subunit ribosomal RNA
Source: RNAcentral
UGGGGAAUAUUGCGCAAUGGGCGAAAGCCUGACGCAGCGACGCCGCGUGUGGGAUGAAGGUCUUCGGAUUGUAAACCACUGUCGCGAGGGACGAAGCUCUGACGGUACCUCGAAAGGAAGCACCGGCUAACUCUGUGCCAGCAGCCGCGGUAAUACAGAGGGUGCGAGCGUUGUCCGGAAUCACUGGGCGUAAAGGGCGCGUAGGCGGCCCGGUAAGUAGGGGGUGAAAUCUCAUGGCUCAACUGUGAGGCUGCCUUCUAGACUGCCAGGCUUGAGCACAGUAGAGGCGAGUGGAAUUCCCGGUGUAGCGGUGGAAUGCGUAGAGAUCGGGAAGAACAUCGGUGGCGAAGGCGGCUCGCUGGGCUGUUGCUGACGCUGAGGCGCGAAAGCGUGGGGAGCAAACAGGAUUAGAUACCCCAGUAGUCCCUGAGCGGGCUGGCAAGGCGCAU